UCAAUAUGCAUUGAUGGCCUCGAUCUGGUGAGUUGCACCGACGCUCCCCGAAGCUUCCAGAAACUGUUGCGGCGCGAGGGGAAAGAGCUAGGGUUGAAAACCCUAGCUGAUAAUUUUGGGUUUUUGGGCCAAGGUUGUAAUUGUAAUGGGUCAAGGGUGUAAACGGGUUAAGGGAUAGUUUAAAGGGUAUUUGGGCUACUGAGUGUAGGUUUUAACUUUUGGGCUGUAAAGGGACUUUUU
Molecule: long non-coding RNA, 240 nt
Filed under: Gossypium barbadense (sea-island cotton)
Lineage: Eukaryota; Viridiplantae; Streptophyta; Magnoliopsida; Malvales; Malvaceae
Description: long non-coding RNA (GBAR_LNC000350)
Source: RNAcentral